RNAcentral lists this ribosomal RNA (234 nucleotides) under uncultured bacterium. RNAcentral's name for it is "partial 16S ribosomal RNA". It matches the Rfam family "Bacterial small subunit ribosomal RNA", at positions 99 to 334 of the family's 1533-position model. The record is from RNAcentral.
CGAACGGGUGAGUAACACGUGAGCAACCUGCCCCGGAGACCGGGAUAACGAUCGGAAACGGUCGCUAAUACCGGAUGCCCCAUCAGGCCGCAUGACCCGAUGAGGAAAUGGAUUCCGCUCCGGGAGGGGCUCGCGGGCUAUCAGCUUGUUGGUGGGGUCACGGCCCACCAAGGCGACGACGGCUAGCUGGUCUGAGAGGACGACCAGCCACACUGGGACUGAGACACGGCCCAG